AGCUCCAAUAGCGUAUAUUAAAGUUGUUGCAGUUAAAAAGCUCGUAGUUGGAUUUGUGGAGUGUCCAGUUGGCCUUUACUCUUUGAGUGAUUGUGCUGUACUGGUCUACCAUGUUUGGGUGGAAUCUGUGUGGCAUUAAGUUGUCAUGCAGGGGAUGCCCAUCGUUUACUGUGAAAGAUUAGAGUGUUCAAAGCAGGCUUAUGCCAUUAAAUAUAUUAGCAUGGAAUAAUAAUAUAGGACCUUGGUACUAUUUUGUUGGUUUAUGCACUAAGGUAAUGAUUAAGAGGGACAGUUGGGGGUAUUUGUAUUCCAUUGUCAGAUGUAAAAUUCUUGAAUUUUUGGAAGACAAACUACUGUGAAAGCAUUUAACAAGGAUGUUCUCA
Molecule: ribosomal RNA, 383 nt
Filed under: uncultured eukaryote
Lineage: Eukaryota
Description: SSU rRNA
Rfam family: Eukaryotic small subunit ribosomal RNA
Source: RNAcentral